Molecule: ribosomal RNA, 254 nt
Filed under: uncultured bacterium
Lineage: Bacteria
Description: partial 16S ribosomal RNA
Rfam family: Bacterial small subunit ribosomal RNA
Source: RNAcentral
CACGUAGGGGGCGAGCGUUGUCCGGAUUCAUUGGGCGUAAAGAGCUCGUAGGCGGCUCAGUAAGUCGGGUGUGAAACCCUCAGGCUCAACCUGGGGACGCCACUCGAUACUGCUGUGGCCAGAGUCCAGUAGAGGAGUGUGGAAUUCCUGGUGUAGCGGUGAAAUGCGCAGAUAUCAGGAGGAACACCAGUGGCGAAGGCGGUGCUCUGGGCCGGAACUGACGCUGAGGAGCGAAAGCGUGGGGAGCAAACAGG